RNAcentral lists this ribosomal RNA (380 nucleotides) under uncultured eukaryote. RNAcentral describes it as "partial 18S ribosomal RNA". It matches the Rfam family "Eukaryotic small subunit ribosomal RNA", at positions 592 to 976 of the family's 1831-position model. The record is from RNAcentral.
CAAUAGCGUAUAUUAAAGUUGUUGCGGUUAAAAAGCUCGUAGUUGGAUUUCUGCUGAGAACGACCGGUCCGCCCUUUGGGUGUGUAUCUGGCUCUUUCUUGGCAUCUUCUUGGUGAACGUUGCUGCACUUGACUGUGUGGAGCGCUACCCAGGACUUUUACUUUGAGGAAAUUAGAGUGUUUCAAGCAGGCAUACGCCUUGAAUACAUUAGCAUGGAAUAAUAAGAUAGGACCUCGGUUCUAUUUUGUUGGUUUCUAGAGCUGAGGUAAUGAUUAAUAGGGAUAGUUGGGGGCAUUCGUAUUUAACUGUCAGAGGUGAAAUUCUUGGGUUUGUUAAAGACGGACUACUGCGAAAGCAUUUGCCAAGGAUGUUUUCAUUGA